AGCGAACGCUGGCGGCAGGCUUAACACAUGCAAGUCGAGCGGGCAUCCUUGUGGUGUCAGCGGCAGACGGGUGAGUAACGCGUGGGAACGUGCCCUUCGGUUCGGAAUAACUCAGGGAAACUUGAGCUAAUACCGGAUACGUGCGAGAGCAGAAAGGUUUAUCUGCCGAAGGAUCGGCCCGCGUCUGAUUAGCUAGUUGGUGAGGUUAUGGCUCACCAAGGCGACGAUCAGUAGCUGGUCUGAGAGGAUGAUCAGCCACACUGGGACUGAGACACGGCCCAGACUCCUACGGGAGGCAGCAGUGGGGAAUAUUGGACAAUGGGGGCAACCCUGAUCCAGCCAUGCCGCGUGAGUGAUGACGGCCUUAGGGUUGUAAAGCUCUUUUCUUCGGGACGAUAAUGACGGUACCGGAGGAAUAAGCCCCGACUAACUUCGUG
This 437-nucleotide ribosomal RNA is filed under the name uncultured bacterium. RNAcentral describes it as "partial 16S ribosomal RNA". It matches the Rfam family "Bacterial small subunit ribosomal RNA", at positions 29 to 507 of the family's 1533-position model. The record is from RNAcentral.